RNAcentral lists this transfer RNA (70 nucleotides) under Loxodonta africana (African savanna elephant). It matches the Rfam family "tRNA". From Rfam's summary of the family: Transfer RNA (tRNA) molecules are approximately 80 nucleotides in length. Their secondary structure includes four short double-helical elements and three loops (D, anti-codon, and T loops). Further hydrogen bonds mediate the characteristic L-shaped molecular structure. tRNAs have two regions of fundamental functional importance: the anti-codon, which is responsible for specific mRNA codon recognition, and the 3' end, to which the tRNAs corresponding amino acid is attached (by aminoacyl-tRNA synthetases). tRNAs cope with the degeneracy of the genetic code in two manners: having more than one tRNA (with a specific anti-codon) for a particular amino acid; and 'wobble' base-pairing, i.e. permitting non-standard base-pairing at the 3rd anti-codon position. The record is from Rfam by way of RNAcentral. Lineage: Eukaryota; Metazoa; Chordata; Mammalia; Proboscidea; Elephantidae.
GCAUUGGUGAUUCAGUGGUAGAGUUCUCACCUUCUAUGUGGGAGAGCUGGGUUCAAUUCCCAGCCAUGCA